UAGGGAAUAUUGGGCAAUGGAGGGAACUCUGACCCAGCCAUGCCGCGUGCAGGAUGAAGGCGUUAUGCGUUGUAAACUGCUUUUAUAUAGGAAGAAAUAGUCCUUGCGAGGAAAGUUGACGGUACUAUAUGAAUAAGCACCGGCUAACUCCGUGCCAGCAGCCGCGGUAAUACGGAGGGUGCAAGCGUUGUCCGGAUUUAUUGGGUUUAAAGGGUGCGUAGGCGGUUUAUUAAGUCAGUGGUGAAAGGCGGUCGCUCAACGAUUGCAGUGCCAUUGAUACUGGUAGACUUGAGUAUGAUUGAGGUAGCUGGAAUGGAUAGUGUAGCGGUGAAAUGCAUAGAUAUUAUCCAGAACACCAAUUGCGUAGGCAAGUUACUAAGUCAUAACUGACGCUGAGGCACGAAAGUGUGGGUAUCAAACAGGAUUAGAUACCCCCGUAGUCCCUGAGCGGGCUGGCAAGGCGCAU
This 466-nucleotide ribosomal RNA is filed under the name uncultured bacterium. RNAcentral describes it as "bacterial SSU rRNA". It matches the Rfam family "Bacterial small subunit ribosomal RNA", at positions 355 to 825 of the family's 1533-position model. The record is from RNAcentral.